GAUCCUACGGGAGGCAGCAGUAGGGAAUCUUCCACAAUGGACGAAAGUCUGAUGGAGCAACGCCGCGUGAGUGAAGAAGGGUUUCGGCUCGUAAAGCUCUGUUGGUAGUGAAGAAAGAUAGAGGUAGUAACUGGCCUUUAUUUGACGGUAAUUACUUAGAAAGUCACGGCUAACUACGUGCCAGCAGCCGCGGUAAUACGUAGGUGGCAAGCGUUGUCCGGAUUUAUUGGGCGUAAAGCGAGUGCAGGCGGUUUACUAAGUCUGAUGUGAAAGACUUUGGGUCA
RNAcentral lists this ribosomal RNA (284 nucleotides) under uncultured bacterium. RNAcentral's name for it is "partial 16S ribosomal RNA". It matches the Rfam family "Bacterial small subunit ribosomal RNA", at positions 335 to 611 of the family's 1533-position model. The record is from RNAcentral.